This 1372-nucleotide ribosomal RNA is filed under the name Bacillus sp. (in: firmicutes). RNAcentral's name for it is "bacterial SSU rRNA". The record is from RNAcentral. Lineage: Bacteria; Bacillati; Bacillota; Bacilli; Caryophanales; Bacillaceae.
GAUGGGAGCUUGCUCCCUGAUGUUAGCGGCGGACGGGUGAGUAACACGUGGGUAACCUGCCUGUAAGACUGGGAUAACUCCGGGAAACCGGGGCUAAUACCGGAUGGUUGUUUGAACCGCAUGGUUCAAACAUAAAAGGUGGCUUCGGCUACCACUUACAGAUGGACCCGCGGCGCAUUAGCUAGUUGGUGAGGUAACGGCUCACCAAGGCAACGAUGCGUAGCCGACCUGAGAGGGUGAUCGGCCACACUGGGACUGAGACACGGCCCAGACUCCUACGGGAGGCAGCAGUAGGGAAUCUUCCGCAAUGGACGAAAGUCUGACGGAGCAACGCCGCGUGAGUGAUGAAGGUUUUCGGAUCGUAAAGCUCUGUUGUUAGGGAAGAACAAGUACCGUUCGAAUAGGGCGGUACCUUGACGGUACCUAACCAGAAAGCCACGGCUAACUACGUGCCAGCAGCCGCGGUAAUACGUAGGUGGCAAGCGUUGUCCGGAAUUAUUGGGCGUAAAGGGCUCGCAGGCGGUUUCUUAAGUCUGAUGUGAAAGCCCCCGGCUCAACCGGGGAGGGUCAUUGGAAACUGGGGAACUUGAGUGCAGAAGAGGAGAGUGGAAUUCCACGUGUAGCGGUGAAAUGCGUAGAGAUGUGGAGGAACACCAGUGGCGAAGGCGACUCUCUGGUCUGUAACUGACGCUGAGGAGCGAAAGCGUGGGGAGCGAACAGGAUUAGAUACCCUGGUAGUCCACGCCGUAAACGAUGAGUGCUAAGUGUUAGGGGGUUUCCGCCCCUUAGUGCUGCAGCUAACGCAUUAAGCACUCCGCCUGGGGAGUACGGGUCGCAAGACUGAAACUCAAAGGGAAUUGACGGGGGCCCGCACAAAGCGGUGGAGCAUGUGGGUUUAAUUCGAAGCAACGCGAAGAACCUUUACCAGGUCUUGACAUCCUCUGACAAUCCUAGAGAUAGGACGUCCCCUUYSGGGGCAGAGUGACAGGUGGUGCAUGGUUGUCGUCAGCUCGUGUCGUGAGAUGUUGGGUUAAGUCCCGCAACGAGCGCAACCCUUGAUCUUAGUUGCCAGCAUUCAGUUGGGCACUCUAAGGUGACUGCCGGUGACAAACCGGAGGAAGGUGGGGAUGACGUCAAAUCAUCAUGCCCCUUAUGACCUGGGCUACACACGUGCUACAAUGGACAGAACAAAGGGCAGCGAAACCGCGAGGUUAAGCCAAUCCCACAAAUCUGUUCUCAGUUCGGAUCGCAGUCUGCAACUCGACUGCGUGAAGCUGGAAUCGCUAGUAAUCGCGGAUCAGCAUGCCGCGGUGAAUACGUUCCCGGGCCUUGUACACACCGCCCGUCACACCACGAGAGUUUGUAACACCCG